GACAGAGGGUGCAAACGUUGUUCGGAAUUACUGGGCGUAAAGCGCGUGUAGGCGGUCUAGCAAGUCGGAUGUGAAAGCCCUUGGCUCAACUGAGGAAGUGCAUUCGAAACUGCGAGACUUGAGUCCCGGAGAGGAUGGUGGAAUUCUCGGUGUAGAGGUGAAAUUCGUAGAUAUCGAGAGGAACACCGGUGGCGAAGGCGGCCAUCUGGACGGUGACUGACGCUGAGACGCGAAAGCAUGGGGAGCAAACAGGAUUAGAAACCCCAGUAGUCC
RNAcentral lists this ribosomal RNA (273 nucleotides) under uncultured prokaryote. RNAcentral's name for it is "partial 16S ribosomal RNA". It matches the Rfam family "Bacterial small subunit ribosomal RNA", at positions 524 to 796 of the family's 1533-position model. The record is from RNAcentral.